This 158-nucleotide ribosomal RNA is filed under the name Clavulinopsis laeticolor. Its description in RNAcentral is "Ramariopsis laeticolor 5.8S ribosomal RNA". It matches the Rfam family "5.8S ribosomal RNA". Rfam says of the family: 5.8S ribosomal RNA (5.8S rRNA) is a component of the large subunit of the eukaryotic ribosome. It is transcribed by RNA polymerase I as part of the 45S precursor that also contains 18S and 28S rRNA. Lineage: Eukaryota; Fungi; Basidiomycota; Agaricomycetes; Agaricales; Clavariaceae. The record is from RNAcentral.
CAACUUUCAACAAUGGAUCUCUUGGUCCUCGCAUCGAUGAAGAACGCAGCGAAUUGCGAUAUGUAAUGUGAAUUGCAGAAUUCAGUGAAUCAUCGAAUCUUUGAACGCACCUUGCGCCCUUUGGUAUUCCGAAGGGCAUGCCUGUUUGAGUGUCAUUA